UUCGGAGUAGGCAAUUAAGCGUUAAGUGCUAGCGGAACGGAAUGUGAACGUUAGCUUAAAAGGGUAAUCCGCGAUUUAAUUGCCGCAUUCGCCGCA
Molecule: non-coding RNA, 96 nt
Filed under: Lapidilactobacillus concavus
Lineage: Bacteria; Bacillati; Bacillota; Bacilli; Lactobacillales; Lactobacillaceae
Also listed under: 1 other name
Description: Lactobacillus concavus THF-I sequence
Rfam family: THF (Tetrahydrofolate) riboswitch aptamer
About the family: THF riboswitch presents a pseudoknot that joins P1-P2 and the loop of P3 and two THF binding.
Source: RNAcentral